CGGAAAGACCCCGUGAACCUUUACUAUAGCUUGACACUGAACAUUGAGCCUUGAUGUGUAGGAUAGGUGGGAGGCUUUGAAGCGUGGACGCCAGUCUGCGUGGAGCCGACCUUGAAAUACCACCCUUUAAUGUUUGAUGUUCUAACGUGGACCCGUGAUCCGGGUUGCGGACAGUGUCUGGUGGGUAGUUUGACUGGGGCGGUCUCCUCCUAAAGAGUAACGGAGGAGCACGAAGGUUGGCUAAUCCUGGUCGGACAUCAGGAGGUUAGUGCAAUGGCAUAAGCCAGCUUGACUGCGAGCGUGACGGCGCGAGCAGGUGCGAAAGCAGGUCAUAGUGAUCCGGUGGUUCUGAAUGGAAGGGCCAUCGCUCAACGGAUAAAAGGUACUCCGGGGAUAACAGGCUGAUACCGCCCAAGAGUUCAUAUCGACGGCGGUGUUUGGCACCUCGAUGUCGGCUCAUCACAUCCUGGGGCUGAAGUAGGUCCCAAGGGUAUGGCUGUUCGCCAUUUAAAGUGGUACGCGAGCUGGGUUUAGAACGUCGUGAGACAGUUCGGUCCCUAUCUGCCGUGGGCGCUGGAGAACUGAGGGGGGCUGCUCCUAGUACGAGAGGACCGGAGUGGACGCAUCACUGGUGUUCGGGUUGUCAUGCCAAUGGCACUGCCCGGUAGCUAAAUGCGGAAGAGAUAAGUGCUGAAAGCAUCUAAGCACGAAACUUGCCCCGAG
RNAcentral lists this ribosomal RNA (723 nucleotides) under Salmonella enterica. Its description in RNAcentral is "partial 23S ribosomal RNA". It matches the Rfam family "Bacterial large subunit ribosomal RNA", at positions 2081 to 2803 of the family's 2925-position model. The record is from RNAcentral. Lineage: Bacteria; Pseudomonadati; Pseudomonadota; Gammaproteobacteria; Enterobacterales; Enterobacteriaceae.